RNAcentral lists this ribosomal RNA (339 nucleotides) under Triticum aestivum (bread wheat). Its description in RNAcentral is "partial small subunit ribosomal RNA". The record is from RNAcentral. Lineage: Eukaryota; Viridiplantae; Streptophyta; Magnoliopsida; Poales; Poaceae.
AUGGUACAAGCUAAAGGCAUAGAGAUAGCGACGAAAACGCCAGAUCGUGCCAUCAAGAAAAAGAUAUCUAGGUGGUGGCUACAUGUAGACCUUCUCAUGCAACUCACGAUUAAGAAAGACAUUCUUGACAUCAAGCUGAGAGACAGAUCACUGGCGAACAAAUAUCACAACGAGAAGUGUGAGGAGUGGUCAUGUGGGCCAUAUAAGCAAAUGUUUCAUCUUAGUCAUAGCCAUGAUCAUGUUGAAAGCCAGAGGUCACAAGACGAGCUUUCUUACGCAAGAGAACCAUCAGAGUCUAAAUCUUGUAGACCCACUUACAAGAUACAAGUGAUUGGAUGA